UUAAUUGAUUUCUGUCUAAUUCCAUUCGAAAAUAUAUCUAGUUAAAUUUCAAUCUUUUCCACUCGUUACAAUUCGAAAUUAUCUUUUUCUUCUUACAUCGGUAUUUAUCGUAUAAACCAUCGUAAGAAAGAACAUCAACCAUUUUGCGAGUCUUCUUUAUUCUAUGUAAUUAAAUCGACAUUAACGUCAUUAAACUAGCGCUGGAGGCGUAGUAUGCAGUGCGUAUAAGAGUACCAAUUAAGCAUGUACGUUUUGAUACUUGUUAUGAAAUGUACGAGGAAGAAACAAGAUAUUAGUACUAAAAUUAAAUACAAGUCGCUACAGUCGGUUUUUAUAAUUCGCUCGUAGUUCCAUGUAUCAAGUUAAACUAUCAGAUUCAUUCAUAAUUUAUUUUAGAAAAAUCCUCUUUCAGAACAUAGAACAAGUUGGUAAAGUUUAGCGGAACCUGUAGAACACUUUGUAUAGAGGUAUUGGUUAAACAGUUUGAUAUAAUAUGAUAAUGGAGAGAAAAUAGGAAAAGUACUCUAAAGAUUAACGUGGACAGCAUCGAAUGUAUACAAUAGAUACUCUGUAAUUCUAGCACACUUACUAGAUCAUGUGACACAACGAAAUGUUAAAUAUUUUUCUAUGUUUUGAAUUAUUUAUUUUGAAUUACAUCGAGGAUGCUAAUAAAUGUAUCCACUUUUGAUGCGUAAAAAUUUUUAUUACACAAUACAGUACACAAUAUAACAACAAGAUAACUAAAGAUCACUUCGAUAAAAUGAUAAGUAAUGAAAUCUCUCUGUUGUAACUGUGAAAAUUCUAAGAUUUGGUCGAAACAUAAGUAAAUGCAUAGUUUAAUCUCGAUUUUCAAAUAUUUUCAGACAAGAAAUAAACAAAAUAUUAUAUUUACAGGGUACUUUUAUAAGGAACAUGCUAUCGUAAUAUUAGAAAACGUUUCAACAUUGGCUGUUCCCGAUAAACGAGGUUCUACUUGGAAAAGAAAAUACUUGGAGAUUGUGUGACGCUUUAUUUAAUUUUUUUUAAUCGAUGAAGCAAAAGAUUAAUCUUUUCCUAAUCCACUCGUAUUAUCGUAUAGGUAAUACAUUGAAUUUUAUUCAUUUGUUUACGAACUUUUUAAAUAACCCAUGAUUAAUACAUGCUGGUGCCUCGUUCAAUGUCUAAACAAAAAUUAAAUAAAAAUAUUCGAUAAAGCUAUUUCAAUUCGAGGAACACGAUUAAUCCUUUAAUCUUGAUUGGAAAUUUUUAAAUUUGAAUCACAGUUAUGAUUAAUAAAUUUUUUCUCGAAGAAUUUUACAAUGUUUGAAAGAAGCUUCACCGAAAAAGCAUUCGAUAAGAAUUAUAAUGAGAAAUAUUCGAAGUAAAUUAAUUACUGUAGAAAGCAAUGAUUAGCAAUUCGAAUGUAAAAUUAUUACAUAAAGUAACAAUUAAAUAGAUUUCAAUUAUCAAAGUUUUACGAUAUUUUAGCUGAGAUAAUAACGUUCUUCAUUACGAAUUAUUACUUUUAGUUUUAUGUUCAUUUGUUCUCAAUCUUAUCAUCAAUCUUCUCCAGUAAAAAAGAGAAUUAUAUAUAUGGAAAGAUCUGCUUUUAUAGUGAAUUUUAUGUAAUCUAUAUAUUUUAUAUA
Long non-coding RNA from Apis florea (little honeybee), 1625 nucleotides. RefSeq lists it as uncharacterized. The record is from RefSeq and is a predicted model, not a curated record. NCBI's taxonomy places the organism in Eukaryota, Metazoa, Arthropoda, Insecta, Hymenoptera, Apidae.